UACGUAGGGUGCGAGCGUUGUCCGGAAUUACUGGGCGUAAAGAGCUUGUAGGCGGUUUGUCGCGUCGAUUGUGAAAUCUUGCAGCUCAACUGCAAGCCUGCAGUCGAUACGGGCAGACUAGAGUACUUCAGGGGAGACUGGAAUUCCUGGUGUAGCGGUGAAAUGCGCAGAUAUCAGGAGGAACACCGGUGGCGAAGGCGGGUCUCUGGGAAGUAACUGACGCUGAGAAGCGAAAGCGUGGGUAGCGAACAGG
RNAcentral lists this unclassified non-coding RNA (253 nucleotides) under uncultured Nocardiaceae bacterium. RNAcentral's name for it is "contains 16S-23S intergenic spacer region". It matches the Rfam family "Bacterial small subunit ribosomal RNA", at positions 524 to 776 of the family's 1533-position model. Lineage: Bacteria; Bacillati; Actinomycetota; Actinomycetes; Mycobacteriales; Nocardiaceae. The record is from RNAcentral.